UGAGGAAUAUUGGUCAAUGGGCGUAAGCCUGAACCAGCCAAGUAGCGUGAGGGAAGACUGCCCUAUGGGUUGUAAACCUCUUUUGUGCGGGGAUAAAGUGUGGGACGUGUCCCAUAUUGCAGGUACCGCACGAAUAAGGACCGGCUAAUUCCGUGCCAGCAGCCGCGGUAAUACGGAAGGUCCGGGCGUUAUCCGGAUUUAUUGGGUUUAAAGGGAGCGCAGGCCGUCCUUUAAGCGUGCUGUGAAAUGCCGCGGCUCAACCGUGGCACUGCAGCGCGAACUGGAGGACUUGAGUACGCACGAGGUAGGCGGAAUUCGUGGUGUAGCGGUGAAAUGCUUAGAUAUCACGAAGAACUCCGAUUGCGAAGGCAGCUUACCGGAGCGCAACUGACGCUGAGGCUCGAAAGCGCGGGUAUCGAACAGGAUUAGAUACCCUGGUAGUCCGCGCGGUAAACGAUGGAUGCCCGCCGUUGGGUUUUAGAAUUCAGCGGCCAAGCGAAAGCGUUAAGCAUCCCACCUGGGGAGUACGCCGGCAACGGUGAAACUCAAAGGAAUUGACGGGGGCCCGCACAAGCGGAGGAACAUGUGGUUUAAUUCGAUGAUACGCGAGGAACCUUACCCGGGCUUGAAUUGCAGGAGAACGAUCCAGAGAUGGUGAGGCCCUUCGGGGCUCCUGUGAAGGUGCUGCAUGGUUGUCGUCAGCUCGUGCCGUGAGGUGUCGGCUCAAGUGCCAUAACGAGCGCAACCCCUGUCCAUAGUUGCCAUCAGGUCGUGCUGGGCACUCUGUGGAGACUGCCGCCGUAAGGUGUGAGGAAGGUGGGGAUGACGUCAAAUCAGCACGGCCCUUACGUCCGGGGCUACACACGUGUUACAAUGGGGCAUACAGCGAGUUGGAUGUGCGCAAGUACGUCCGGAUCAAUAAAGUGCCUCUCAGUUCGGACUGGGGUCUGCAACCCGACCCCACGAAGCUGGAUUCGCUAGUAAUCGCGCAUCAGCCAUGGCGCGGUGAAUACGUUCCC
This 1019-nucleotide ribosomal RNA is filed under the name uncultured bacterium. RNAcentral's name for it is "bacterial SSU rRNA". It matches the Rfam family "Bacterial small subunit ribosomal RNA", at positions 355 to 1375 of the family's 1533-position model. The record is from RNAcentral.